AUUGAACGCUGGCGGCAUGCCUAACACAUGCAAGUCGAGCGGAUGAAGGGAGCUUGCUCCUGGAUUCAGCGGCGGACGGGCGAGUAAUGCCUAGGAAUCUGCCCGGUAGUUGGGGAUAACGUCCGGAAACGGGCGCUAAUAUCGCAUACGUCCUGAGGGUGAAAGUGGGGGUUCUUCGGUCCUCACGCUAUCUGCUGAGCCUAGGUCGGAUUAGCUAGUUGGUGGGGUAAAGGCCUACCAAGGCGACGAUCCGUAACUGGUCUGAGAGGAUGAUCAGUCACACUGGAACUGAGACACGGUCCAGACUCCUACGGGAGGCAGCAGUGGGGAAUAUUGGACAAUGGGCGAAAGCCUGAUCCAGCCAUGCCGCGUGUGUGAAGAAGGUCUUCGGAUUGUAAAGCACUUUAAGUUGGGAGGAAGGGCAGUAAGUUAAUACCUUGCUGUUUUGACGGUACCAACAGAAUAAGCACCGGCUAACUUCGUG
RNAcentral lists this ribosomal RNA (484 nucleotides) under uncultured bacterium. RNAcentral's name for it is "partial 16S ribosomal RNA". It matches the Rfam family "Bacterial small subunit ribosomal RNA", at positions 30 to 507 of the family's 1533-position model. The record is from RNAcentral.